Molecule: long non-coding RNA, 1852 nt
Organism: Ostrea edulis (European flat oyster)
Lineage: Eukaryota; Metazoa; Mollusca; Bivalvia; Ostreida; Ostreidae
Exons: 5
Source: RefSeq, a predicted model, not a curated record
AUAGGUAGAUCGAUAUUACCGAGAGUGUAUUGAAGUAUGUCACAGUAUUAGUAUUUUGACUGUCAUUUGCAUAAUACUUCAUGGAACUUUUUAUUAUUUCAUCCUAGCGUGAACUAAUAUUUAACAUCUCAUUCAACAAUUAUGCAUUUUAAAUAAAUGAUGUAAAUGCCAACGUUUCGCUUUAAAAUUGCCCGAAAAGUAGGGCAACGAAUUAAAAGGAUACCGUGUUAUGACGCUUUCUGUUAGCUCGAAUUUUUUCGCAUUUCUAUAACAGAUGCAUGUGAACGCAGCUGAUACGGCAUCUGAUCGCGUAGCAUUCAUUACAUUGCAAAUGAAUAGUAGAUUAGCAGUGAAGAGGUAAUCGAGACUUUGGUGGAACAACCAGUAUGCAGAAGCAACUAAUGAUCAUGAUAAGGUAGGACCUGGAUGACACAUGACGACUCUGCAUUCUGAUUCGUACUAGACCUGGCUCCUCCUUGUGGACAUGAAUGGCACAAUCUCCUUCAAUAUGUUCCUGGGCAUAGCUUGGGGAUAAUUUCAGCUGGAUUUCAUUGUGAGAUGCAUGUUUAUUUGCAAGUUAUUGGAAUUGAUUAUAAUAUACCUGUUACUGAUGGCACAAACAAUCCUAACAAAAUCUCCAAUGUACGGAACCUGGCUCGUUGGCAGGAUUUUCCCAAGUUGACAUCUGCCUGUCUCCAUGAGCCAUAAAGGAUGGCAUCUGUGCCUUGAUACCUAGUUCCUCCAAGUAAUCCAAGGAGUCUCUGAAACCACGGUCCACCACAAAUACAUCAUCCUCGCAAACCCAUCCCUGUAUGUCAUCGAUAUUUCUUUUCAAAAUGUGGUUGAGUAUGGAGGCAUCAUUGUUUUUUGCAAUAUAAGGGCCUAAUACAGAAACAAAGUAGCCUGUCGAUGACACAAUGACCAUAGGUUUCACAAGUGGCCUGCCUUUGUGGAGACUGUAGGAUUGACGUUGAAAUCUAAAAUUACCACUUUUGUUGAUGUAGAUGUACGUCCCAUCCAAUAUAAGUAUGGCUUGCUGAGUUGUGUCAUCACCAAAAAGUGUCUGGGCAAGGGGUCGCGUAUGCUUAUUGAUUAUCUCCUCUCGCGUUAUGUGACCAAAUCCAAGGUUUUCUGUGACAAAACCUCCAGUCAUCAAUAUAUUGCGGACAGCUCGCACACUUCUUUGUAUACUGGAUUUGGAAAUAUUAAACAAUGUGGACAAAAUCUUGUUUGACUCCCCUCCUCUCAAUUUUAGCAAAAAGAUUGCAAGGCUGGUUCUGGUAGUUCUAGCAGGAGUUAUUUUGAUUUUCCCCUCGAUAAACAGCAUCAUGUCAUUGAAAGAAGCUUUUGAUAUCCCCAGGAGAUCUACAUAUUCAGUGUCUGUGUUUUGGGCAGCAACGAGCUCCAGCAGGAAUUAUGACUUCUUUGGUGAUAAAGAUUCGAUGACGAAAUCCCACUGGAACCACAACUAGCUUUGGUCCUGGCCUUUUGCAGAUGCAACAUGCAGCAUGUCCUCUUGAUGUGCAAGGAAAAGGAAGAGUUACUGAUGGUGGACUGAACUGAGGUGUUAAAGUUGUAGAUGAUGUUGAUGGUGCGGAUUCACCUUGACAAUCUGUCGUGCUCGCCAUGCUAUGACCUUUGCGUUUUAUGUGACGUGCACACAUGCACCUACAUCUGUUGCAUAAGAAGUCAUCGUCACCUGGUGUUCUCCCAGAUAGUUUGGAGAUAACGACUCUGUAUUUUCUUGCAAUGCUGUAUCUGUCUUUCUGUCGUACCACGCGUGGACAAUUACAACAGUUGUAAGAUUUCUUACCAGGCAUCUGAAAUGUCAAAUAAAAUCUGUUUCAUUUUA